CAGGCAAGUCGCAAAGUGGAACGCAGCGGCGAACGAGCUAAGAAAGUCAGUUGAAAACAGUGGAAACGCGGUGCCAGUCACUUUUUUUCAUUGCACAUAGAGAGAGGGCCCUGUAUACUCAGCAGCCUACCACCAACAAUCAACCAACCAACCGACCAGCCCAACCAACAUACCUGUCGUGUUGGCCACGUUUGUGGCGAUCCGAUCAGUGCACCGUCAGCCAGCGACGCGCACACACCGAACCACACAAUCCAGCAGUCUGGGAAACGAACACCACUGUAUAUACUAUCAAGCGAAGUGUUAGAGAUAAACUGAUAAUACAACGGAGCCGAGAAAAGAAAAGCACUAACGUGGCGUUAACUCUUUUAACUAAAAAACACUCACUCACUCAACCAAAAAAAAAAAAAAACGUCAGUAAAGACAAUAAACAAAGUAAAACAAAAACGAGUCAGCGGCAAAGUGUCAAUAAAACUCUCGAAUUCAUUAACACAACUCAAAACGUUCUAUUAGUAAGCACUUGCAAAUUUAAACGAAACAAAAAAAAAAAAUCUUGACAGAGAGAGAGAGAGACAGAGAGCGAUAAAAGGAGAGGGAACAUUAGACAGAAAUUAGCGUGGCCAACAGUCAAAAGGUCUAAUAGAAGCGCGUGUAUACGAGUCAAAAUGCCCGUAUACACCUCGUCGAGACCCACAAGCCAUGAUCGUAAAAACCACAUCAACAAAUGUUCGAAACGAGAUAAAAAAAACAACAACCGAGAAUAUAUGAAAAAUACAGAAAAAAAAGAUACAAAAACCCAGACGAGACCGCUGAGACAUGUCCUUGGCCUGUAAAAGGGCAGUGAAAUUCCUGGCACUCCAUAACAACAUCAUCAAAGGAUGGUGCGCAACUUCGGUUCCCAGGAGUCCUUUCAGCUGAACCGCUCUACUGAAGUACAGAAUUACAGAAAUUCAAAGCCCCCCCGCUGAAGUAUGCCAUAAGGUAAGUCAGCCAGAGAGAUGCUGUUUAUGGUUUUAAUUAAACGGGGGCAACAUUGGUGCGCCUCAUUAGCGGCAAUUUGUUGGGCAUGCCGCCAUCAAAUCGAAUCGAGUAGCCUUUUUCACGGAAGCCACACGGUCCCCAGAUAACCCACAAUCCACUAUGCACUAUCCAGUAUUCAGUGUUCGCUGCUCGGUACAUGUACAACCAUACAUACAUACAUACAUACAUAACCGAUACUGGAUAAGCUGGCACCGGAGUUUCAGCCCGGAGUUCCAGUUCCCGCCGCCGGACCUGCUAAUUAUGCAUGUGUACUGUGUGACGGGCUCAUGGGGUUUCUCGGUUGUUAGGUUCCUCGAUUUCUCGGCUUCUUGGGGCCUUAGCCUUAUCUAUCAAAGCGUUGCGGGGCAUAAAAUUCAAAUUGACACUACUGCGACGAGUGAAAGCGUGUGAACUGAACUUGAGACGUGGCACAGAUAAAGAUAUACCGCAUAGACCAAACAGUCGGCGGAGCUAUAUAAAUUAAACUGAAACCGCAAAUAAACAUGAGGUUUUCCAAUGGGUGGCAAACAAGUGGUGAAAUAGAUAACGAGUCAGACGCGUGACAAAUGCAUAGAGAGAACAAAUUGUUUAGCAAAGAAAUAGUUUAAAAUCUUACAAAGAAAUUAAAUACAUACAUUUCAAAAUACUUUUGACCAAAAAUCAGUUGAGAUAUCCGUGACUCACGCACAUUCUCGCAAUCUCCUCAUUUUCAUGCAUAUGCAAACCGGGCAAGACAACAAACAGAAAAACACAUUUAAGAAAAACAAACCAACAAAAGCCGCUGGCACAACAAUCACCGAGCUUAACCCAUAAAUCUACACAUGUUUACAUUGGCUUAGCCACUCGAUUUGAGGCCGUUUUCUGAGCCCGGUGCGCUUCCAUAUCAGUUGACAAAUUUGUCAACUUGCCUGGCAACUUGAAUGACAUUUUCCAAACCAAUUUCCCCCGACCAACCACCACCACCACCAAAAGUGGAAACCACCCAAAGGAAAUCCAAACAAUGGACAAACAGCGAACAACUUGAGUCAGCUGCGACGCUUUCAAUUCAUGAAAUGGACAAUUGUUGUCUCGCAACGUUGACUCAAUUGAACAAGGCCCACAGAAACAGGUAACAAUAUUGGCCAUCAGCAGCGGCAACGGUAGCAGUCAACAACUGUAAUUACUCCGACUGCGAUAAGGUUGGCCAAGUUGAAGUUGGAGUUGCACAAGUCAGUCUUAUCAGACAAUAAAUUGCAGUUGGAUGAGUCAAUUGUUUUUACUUUAAUGGAUGCCUCUCUGCUUUUUGUUAAUGAAAGUCAUGCAUGUAAUAGGAAGUUAUGCUCACACAGCACAGAAAUGUAGAAGUAUUUGUUUGUUUUCCUUCCAUGGAUGUCAUAGAUUUUCAAAGGAUAUAUGAUUGGCUUUUUGCUUAAGGCCAAACUACCAAGUUCAUAGAUAUAUAAUUCGUUUUGCUUUUCCAAAGCUUAUACAUUAUUACAUUGAGUGUGAUCACAACAAAUUAUAAAAAUGCAAUGUAUAAGCCUAUGCGUUACUACGCCUCCAUGGUUAGAACAUAAAUCAUGGCCAUAUCUUUAUCAACUAUCUGCUAUCUAAUGCCAUCGAUGCAGCUGCUACCGGCCAGAAGUCGAAGAUAAAUGCGACCGCGAAAACUUUGACAAGCGAUUAACUUUACAAUUUAUCGCCGAGCAAUUUGAAUCGUCGUAAAUCUCGGCGCGGCAGCUAACCGUGUGUUAAGAACUGGUGCCCCGGCUCAUGUUGCGUCAUUAAUUUAACCAGUUGUUGCAACAAGUAUUAGCUCAGCCAUUGGGUCAGGUUCGAGGCGCUCUCUAAGUAUCGCCCUGAUUAAAACAUCAGGCCGAGCUUGGGGUAAAGUUGUUCCACCAGUCGAGUGGAGCCCCUCCGCUGCUCCACUGGCACUUUGCCACUCGACUCCUCUUCUGCUUAUCCCAUGGAGUCUGUUUUUAUUUAUGCAUGUUUAAACAUAUUUAAUGUCAUUACGGGCACCUCUUGCGCCCAGCGCCCAUGCCACAAAACACGCAUUUAAUUAUCUGCCCGGCUCCACAUGCCCCAUGCGCAUUAAUUUAAUGAACGCAUGCAUUUCACAUUUUUAUCAUGUCCAAUUGGAUGGAGGAGGGGCAUUUGGAGAUCUGCGAGGGAUCUGGGGGCAACUCGGGGGAUCGCUGGUGUAUCCCGGUAGCUGUCCGGCCUGUUCCAAUAUAUUUAUUGCAUCGUCGCCUUCAAUGUGGUUGCUCUGGUUAGCGCUGCCGUUGUUGUCGUUGUCGUCGUCGCGUUUUUAAUCGCAUUUAAUAUUUCAUUUUAUUAAGCCAAUCGUUGAGUCCAGCAGUUGGGUGUGCAUCUGCAUCUUCAUCUUCAUCUCCAUCUGCGCGAAAUGUGCAUCGCCAUGUCCGCGAAUGUCUGCUGAUCGUCUGGCGAGCAGUGAGCAAUUUGCUUAAUGCUGUCAUAAGGCUGUCAGUUUAUCAUUUGCAUUGCGGCGCCUUUGGCGACAUGGAGAUGACACUUAAUAAGUAGCCAACUUAGUUGCCACCAAUUGCUAGCUGGCCGUUAAGAGUGGUCAGCUUGGAGUUGGCAGUUGGUUGGUUGGUUAGCUGAUGGAAACGGACGAAAUGCCAGACAUUUCAUUACUGCCAUGUGGCUGCCACAACUCUGCAGCUGCAAACUGAAUACAAACUGCAUUCCAUUGAGCCAGCCAAGCGAAGUGUAGCAGAGCAAUUGUCAAUUGCACCACCCUAUAAAAGAAUGCACAGGAAGAAAUUCUAUAUUUUCAAACUAUUUUAUACAUUAAAAAUCCAAUGAAAGUAAAAAAUGUAUAAUGUAAUCAAAGUUAAAAUGUACAGCUAGUUUAUAUAUCAGGUUCCCAUACCAUCUUAAAAUUUUAGUAGUUUCGGGACAAAAAAUGGGUAAAUCAACUGUGGCAACCUAUUGAGGCAAGUUUUUGUUGCUCCUGUUUCCUGUCGUUACAUGAGAUGCACGUUGUAAGCGGAUAGGCUGUGAGGGUUGUUCAGAAAUUCACUUAAUAAUAAUAUUGCAUUAUAUAUUCAAUGUGAAAGCUUUAACUGAAAUGAUUAUCUAUGAAACAUUUAAAGAGUAUUACAUUCAAUAUGUGAUAUACAAUUUAAAUUCAAUACUCACCAAUCUGCCCUCGCUUCGUACCCAUUGAUACUUAUGCCAAUUACCAUUCUCCGUUCGCCUCUUUGCAGACAAAUGCCAUGGACUCGCUUACAAUUUGGUCUCGUCUUGUCAAUCAAUUGGGAUCGAGUCGGGGUCUAGAACUGGAAAUGGCCAAGGAUGACCGGCGACCGUUUCCUGUUUGGGUUGGCAAGUUGGUAAGUUAAUACUCGGACUAGGCUCUAACUUAAUUAGCCGCACGACAGACUGAAGACUAAAGACUGAAUGCCGAAAGCACACGACCCCGACCUCUGGUGACCUCAAAGCUGACGGAGGCGACUAAUUUAUCAAAAUGGCUAGAAAAACUGAAAUAACUCUACGCAUAAUUAAAUCCAGCUAAAAACGAAAAAUGAGUGAAACACCGCGAUACUCAAAUGCGUUUUUAAACCGUUGCGCAACGCCUAUUUCUAACAGUUUUAAAUUUUGUUGAGACUUUUCUUUGGUGUUUUGUUCGAAUUUUUCUUUUGCUUAAUUGCCGCCUAUUAAUCCCGACUCCGUUAAUGGUCUCACAAACAAAAAUUCUAAUUAAUGAAAUAUUUUUCGGCCUUUUGCAUGCAUUGUCUACUGUAGGCAUUCCAGCCCACCGAAAGUAUAAUCAAUCAUGGCCCAAGACCUCAUGGAUCUCACAGAUGGUGGAGAUUUUUGGACAAAGUGAACUUGAGUGUGUUGACAAAUUUGUGAGUUGCCGGCAUGGAUUGACAGGAAAAUUGAGUAAUCAAUCAUGGGCCAUCAAACGAAGCCGACCACAGCGAAUUGGCCUUCGAAAGGUCUGUUUAGUUAGUUAGCGAAAUCAAGUCUUAUCAACUGAUGAUGCACGUCGCGGCCAUUAUUUAAAUGCUAAUGUUAAUUAACGAAAUCACGUUAGUCGAGAAUGUUGACAAAAAUCUCACAAUCAGUAGUAGUAGUUGCUGCUCGAACAAGUUGAUUCAGGUUUGCUUAUAUUUUUAGUCGCUGUGCCUCGCAUGCGAUUGAAACGAAAUAUAAAAUUACAUUAAAUUACCGGAUGUAAUUGCGGUGGUCGUGCCAGUCGCCUCUCUCAACCCGGUCAAUGAAUCACGGCCCGGCGCACACGAAAUGCGUCGAAACAAAAGACUCAGGCAACGAACUCGAAUUCAACUCGGCCAGAUUUCAAGCGGCCGAGCACUUCACUUACGUAUGUCCAAAUCAGGGAAACCAGCAACCCACACAGAAUGGUAGAAAAAUCGAAAAACAAAUGAAGAGAGACCCACACAGAAAGGCCAGUUGAGUGGUAUCUUAUCAGGGCUAACGAUUUUGUCAAAUGACAAUUUUCUUGGCCCCAUUGAAUGCCUCUUUUUCACGCCAUUCAUUGACUUUUGUAUGGUCCAUUUAGUUGUCAAUUAUUUUUGAUAGCCUCAGCUGAGGCAGCUGAUAAGAACUGGUGACUAGCAAGCACAAGACUUGUUUAACAAUCCCAGGAAAUCCGUACAUUGAAAAGAGGAGGGGAAAUAGAGGACACCAUCGGAUCUGUGGCUGUGGAUCCAGCUACUGCCUCUCUCCGUUUUGGCCAAAUUUGCAUAUUGAACGGCAGUUUGUCUUGAGCCUGAGCUUUUAGUUAUGGCCGAGCAUUAAAUUUAACUAUUAAGCCAUUUUCGGAGGCCAGUUUUGUGGAGCUUGACUUUCCAAACAUUGUCCCCUGACAGUUGUACCCUAUGGGAAUUAUUUUCUUUUUUUUUCUGCCGCAAUUUAUGAGCCAAAAAGACACAGAUAGACAGAAUGAUUAACAUGAAGUGGAGAGGCAUGGGAACCUUGGAUUGGCAAAGUGAAAUGUUGAAAGCAAUAUAACUUUGACAUAUAAUUAAACAGAAAUAAAGGCUUUAUUUCUUAAAUCAAUGGUUCACUCAAUAGUGGCACACCCAAGUAGGUUUAUAUACACUAGCUUGCCAGCUGCAAUUGAAAAAAAAAACAAUUGCAAGAGUCGACUUAAUUUCAUCAUAAAAAUGCGAAUUAUCUCCAGAUGAAAUUCAUUUCUUGCAACUCAAUCAAGAGGCAUGCAACAGAGGCUGCUGACCUAUAUAUGGUUAAUAAGAAUCAACUUACAUGCCCGCAAAUGUAUGUAGGAAUGCUGGUGGCAUAAAGACCAUACAGAUAUACAGAUAUCCAUAUUGAUAUCUCCACCUCUGUUGCAUUUCGGUUCGUGCAACAAUUUUCGUCGAAAACAAUUUUCAGAGCACGAAACGAAACGUAACGAAAACGGGAGGGGAAAGAUCAGUGCAGAAAAUGAGAAAUUUUCGCAGUGCAUCAUAUGCCACGCACGUAGAAACCAAACCAAAAGCAAACGAAACAGUAACAAUCAGACAAUCAUGCACAUAAUCAUGCCAUCAAUAUAUGGCAAUUAUCAAUGAAAUUUAUAACAAUCCACGAAAUGUAACGAAAACUUAACCGACCAAUAAAAAUUUCAUUUUUCAAAAAGGAGCGCUCAACUCACUGCAGUUCGUCAUCCUCGUUCUGCAAGAAAAAAAAAGGUGGAAAAAAAAAAUCAGGAAAAAUACAGGGGAAAAAUGCCAGAAACAUGAUCAUGAUGUGGCCAAUGUUGCUGUUUUAGCCCCGUUCGCUUCGCCUUGUGAUCUGCAUCAUAAAAACGUGCCAGAUUGAUGCGUGAUUGAAAUGCCAAUUGGUUUCCAGUUGGACGCGGUUCGUUCCUCUGCUCUUCGUUUCUGUUUCUUGUUGGAGUGUGCGUGCUGUUACCGUUACCAAUCCAAUCUGCAUUGUCAUCUUGGACAAUUAGAACCAGCAGAGAUCUCAAAGAUACAUUUAUUUUCGAGGUACCUAACCUAAGCUAACCUACGGACAAGAAAAGAAAAGUGGGAGGAUGGAGUCCGACAGCCAGAUCUUUGGUCAAUAUCUCAAGAGGAAGAGGGUAAAAUCAAUCCGCUAGAUAAACAGUUAAAGCCAUGGCCAAAAGGGGCGGCUGGCUGGCUGGAGGUGGUCAGGUUUCCGUUGUCCACAUACCGUUGGGAGAGGUUUUGUCGCCAUGGCCAUGACUUGUGGUGUCCGUAUGUGGGUCACACGCUCUGACGAGGGUUACCACGAUUUCUUGACGGGAUUCGUAACGUAACGAAAGCGGGAGUCACAUUACCCACUUCAGUUCGAUACCAUCUAUCUUCCCGCUGAUUCGGGAUUUAUUUCAACAAAUAAUACAUGAAAUAGUCAUAGUUUGUUUCUUAAAGUGUUUAACAAAGUUUGUUAGCUUUAUAGAGUGUUAACCAUUCGGAUAUCUGGCACCCCAUAAAUAUGCAUGUCGUAAAGUCUCUGGAUGGCGUGCUGUCGCAGUUGGCUGAUGAAUGGAGUCUGCUGGCGCCACCGGGAACAGCAGAACUAUCAAACUCCACCGGAUGGCCGGCCAUCUAGGGCAACUUGAUCGACUGGAGCUCAGAGUCUGGAGCUUGGCGCUGCAAACUGCGACUCGCACUCGGUGUGGAUAUAUCGGUGCAAUAACAUCUGGUAAGAGCAAUCUGCGAUGAAGAGCUUCCAUUUGCUUUUUUUUUUUUCUUUUGUUAUUUACAACGUCUGCAACUUCCACUCUUAUCGCUGGCAACAAAUUGACCAUUUCAAUUAAUGAAACGCACUUAAACACCAGAGUGUUCUGUUGUCCGCCGUUUGCCACUCAAGUGUUGGCGCUAAUGAACAUGGCCAAUCGUAAAGGCCAACACCGCGAUGAUCCUUUUUUUUCUGUUUCUCUGCUACUUUUCCCGCCUCGUCCCGCUCACAUUUGCAUAUUUUGUUGUCGAGAUUAAGCGCGUAAAUUUGUCGUUAAAAAUCAUGUUUGAGAUCGGCCACAGAGACACACGCGAUUGCUCAAGAGGAAAGGAGGUAAGAAAAAAAAAAACAACAUUCGAAACACAGGCAGCUGUUGAUUUUCAACUGUUUCGAAUCGAGUUCGUAUUUCUCGUAUUUUGAUUGCGAACCGCUCGAUUUGAUUGAUGGCUGUCGCCUCACGGCGCAUGCGCGGCAUGUCUAUGCCAACUGACGUACUGAUUUACCGUUGCCUGAUAAGCAAACUAACCGAAAAAAAAAAACGAGUGGCAAUUACCUCAAGUGGAGCAGCAUUUGGCAUUUGCAUAAAUUGGCCUAAAACAAAAAAAAAGGCAGACAAAAAUCGGGGGAAACUAUCGAGAGCCAAAUGAAACGAGACGAAACGAGACGGGGCAAUGAAAUCGGAGCUUUCUUCGUGACUGGCGACGUUUUCCCAGCCUUUCGAGCCGAGAAGUCCUCUAUAAUGAGUGACGUGAACCCAGGGGUCACAGAUGUCCAGAGCAAUUGGAUGUUACAAUUUGUUUGGCCAGCGACAAGUCAAUUUGGGGUUACAUGCCCUCGGCGGAAAUUACCAACUAAACAACAACUAGCUUAAAGAUCACUUUCAAAUCGUUAAAAAAAAAAAUUAUUUAGAAAUUUACAUUUUUAAAAUCUUACACUAAGGUUCAUUUCUUUCCCAUCAUACCAUCUUUCCCAUAUAAUAAAAUUUUAAUUUUUUAGUGCACCUACACCCAAUUACCAAGUAGAGCAUGGAAAUGCUCUUAAGCUAUCCGCUAUCUAAUUAGUUUAUGCACCAUUAUAAUUUUUAAUUGCCUCUGCUCGCCGCAAACAAGAUGGAAAAUGCUGGGCACAAGGAGCGGGAAAAUUCCAAUUGUAAUUUUAUGCAACACGCAGCCGCAAAAUGAUUUUCACAGCAAAUUAUGCGGCCAACCGCAGUUGUAGCCAUGGAACAUGCAACAUGGAUUUCCCACGCAUGCCCCCAAUGAAUGAAUGUAUGAGUAUAUAUAUGUACCUAUAUACAGAUAUGUGUCUCUAUAGCGCAGAAGCGACUUCCGCGAUUUGAACCUGCCGCAGAAAGAGAAGAAACAAAAUUUGCGUUUUUGAUUAAAUCGUGGGAUAGAUCAAAGCCAUCUUAUCAGGGGCAAUGUUUUGGCCAACGUGGGACAGAAACUGCUGGGGUGUUCAGGUUUUAGUUCGCACAAUGCGAUGAGAAUUUCGAGUCAAAGAAUGGCGGAAGUGGUGGCUGCUAAAAGAUUUUCUCCAAAUGCUGACGGAUUCAUGAACUCAUUAACUUGUUUUUUAUUGAUUUUAUUUCUAGAAUUUCAUAAACUAAAUGAAGAUUUAAAGGGUAUCCAGUGCAUGCGGGUGAGUAAUCCAAUUUAAACUGACAAAACAAGAAAAGUAAAUAUACCAUCUAAUGGUAUAUAGAUCUCGGCACAGUUAAUGGCACUGGAAGAAUUCACGGGGUAAUUUUUAUACAACCCGUGAUCUCUUAGUGGCAUCUAUGGUGCGAGAAUAAAACAUCCAAAAUGAAACGAAAUCCGAAACUUUCAAAGUUAAAAAUGUGCUAAUGUAAACUGCAUUGAAUCCGGUAGCUCAAACGAAAUCAAUUCUAUCUCUUAUGAAAGUAAAUUAAUAAUUAGAGCGGCCUAAUUAGCACCUUCAAUCGCAGAGUGGGAACCAAAAAACAAUCUAAUUCAUAAAUUUCAAAUCUACAGGCAAGGAAAACCUUUCAAAAAAUGGUAAAAAAAAGUGCUGAGAAAGAGAAUUGAAGGGAAUGGAGAGUUUAUGAGUCCGGACAUGGUGGCAGCCUUGAAAAAUCACCUUUCACACCGCCUAGAGUUCCCGGUUCUCUUGCUUAUUUUUUGUAAAUUCUUUUUUUUAUUUUUUUUUUACCCACAAUUAACAGUUCAAUGAACCAGGUUGCCGCCGAUUCUUCGCAGUCCCUUGAAGUUUCAGCCCAGCGGAUGGAAGAAGAAACGAACUCACAAAGUACCAAUCUCCCGAAGAAUAGCACAAAGCCCAUGGAUAAUAGCCCAAUGGAGCUGUUGGGCAUGCCAUCGCUACAAAAAAAAAAAAGAAAAAAAGAUACAUACAGAUACAAAAAAAUAAAGGCUAAGCGAGGUAAAAAAAAGAUAAUUAACUUUUUUUCUUUUAGCACUAAGUAUGCCAAAGAGGAAGCACUAACAACAGCAACAGCAAGAAAUUACAACACAUUACAAUGGAUGGGGGCAUUCGGCAAGUGUGAGAGCGUUCCCUUAAGUCGGCGCUACCCGUCUCUCUCUCUCGCUUCCCUUACAGCCGUCUCUUUCCAACGCUAAACGCUUCAAUGAUUUUGUCAUGCAUAAAUUUUGCAGGUUUGCUGAAAUUUCUGCACUCCGCCGGGCGAGAAUCAAAUAAAUUCCGGCACAAAACUCUUUUUCCCUUCUGGCCAAGUUCCGCUCGAGCACAUUUAUGCGGAAGAAGAGGGGUCUUUUUAAUGAUGACGCUUCCUGUUGGCCGGCCGCACAUAUAUUUAUGAGACACCUUGGCGUUGAUAAGUCCCAGACGAAGCUUCAAUUGAAAUUUGUACUUAAUUAAGUCUGGUAUGGCGAACCGGCGUUUCUUUGAUCAUCGACUAAGAAGGAAUUCUGAGAAUUCGUCAAGUAGCCUACACUUGGGAGCAAUUAUUCACUUAGGCUUAAAAACAAUAUUUUUUAAACGCGGGAAAAUAGAAUUUACAAAUAUUU
Non-coding RNA from Drosophila melanogaster (fruit fly), 10706 nucleotides. Lineage: Eukaryota; Metazoa; Arthropoda; Insecta; Diptera; Drosophilidae. The record is from Ensembl.